Molecule: ribosomal RNA, 479 nt
Filed under: uncultured bacterium
Lineage: Bacteria
Description: partial 16S ribosomal RNA
Rfam family: Bacterial small subunit ribosomal RNA
Source: RNAcentral
GAUUAACGCUGGCGGCGUGCAUAACACAUGCAAGUCGAACGAUGAAACUUAAAUGAAUUCUUCGGAAUGAUUUUAAUUGGAUUAGUGGCGAACGGGUGAGUAACGCGUGAGUAACCUGCCUUACACAAGGGGAUAGCCUCUGGAAACGGAGAAUAAUACCCUAUGAAACUAUCUUAUCGCAUGAAAAGAUAGUCAAAGUGUUUUAGCGGUGUAAGAUGGACUUGCGUCUGAUUAGCUAGUUGGAGAGAUAACAGCCCACCAAGGCAACGAUCAGUAGCCGGCUUGAGAGAGUGUACGGCCACAUUGGGACUGAGACACGGCCCAGACUCCUACGGGAGGCAGCAGUGGGGAAUUUUGCACAAUGGGGGCAACCCUGAUGCAGCGACGCCGCGUGAUUUAGAAGGCCUUCGGGUUGUAAAAAUCUUUUGUAUAGGAAGAAAAUGACAGUACUAUACGAAUAAGGUCCGGCUAAUUACGUG